Molecule: non-coding RNA, 70 nt
Filed under: Aeromonas caviae
Lineage: Bacteria; Pseudomonadati; Pseudomonadota; Gammaproteobacteria; Aeromonadales; Aeromonadaceae
Source: RNAcentral
AUGCGAAACAGGGCGGCCGGGCCGCCCUGUCUGCCCGGCGUGGUGGCCGGGUACUGAUGAGCAGCCGACC